GCAGGUGCAUGCCUCUAGCAUGAAGUCAGACAAGUGAACCCGCUGAAUUUAAGCAUAUCAAUAAGCGGAGGAAAUCACUAGUGCGGCCGCCUGCAGGUCGACCAUA
Molecule: ribosomal RNA, 106 nt
Filed under: Symbiodinium sp. Amami3c
Lineage: Eukaryota; Dinophyceae; Suessiales; Symbiodiniaceae
Description: partial 28S ribosomal RNA
Source: RNAcentral